Molecule: transfer RNA, 64 nt
Filed under: Dipodomys ordii (Ord's kangaroo rat)
Lineage: Eukaryota; Metazoa; Chordata; Mammalia; Rodentia; Heteromyidae
Rfam family: tRNA
About the family: Transfer RNA (tRNA) molecules are approximately 80 nucleotides in length. Their secondary structure includes four short double-helical elements and three loops (D, anti-codon, and T loops).
Source: Rfam by way of RNAcentral
GGUGGCUCAGUGGUAGAGCACUUGCCUUGCAUGCCUAAGGCCCUGAGUUCGACUCUCAGCACCA